Molecule: ribosomal RNA, 450 nt
Filed under: uncultured bacterium
Lineage: Bacteria
Description: bacterial SSU rRNA
Rfam family: Bacterial small subunit ribosomal RNA
Source: RNAcentral
AACGCGAAGAACCUUACCUGGGCUUGACAUGCCAGGAUUAUCCCCAUGAAAGUGGGGUAGGCCCCGCAAGGGGUACAACUGGUACAGGUGCUGCAUGGCUGUCGUCAGCUCGUGUCGUGAGAUGUCGGGUUAAGUCCCUUAACGAGCGAAACCUUUGCCCUUAGUUACCAGCGGGUUAUGCCGGGGACUCUAAGGGGACUGCCGGUGUCAAACCGGAGGAAGGUGGAGAUGACGUCAAGUCCUCAUGGCCUUUAUGCCCAGGGCCACACACGUGCUACAAUGGGGUGCACAGAGCGAACCUAGAGCGCAAGCUGGAGGAAAUCGCAGAAAUCACCCCCCAGUUCAGAUCGGAGGCUGCAACUCGCCUCCGUGAAGUUGGAAUCGCUAGUAAUCGCGGAUCAGCCACGCCGCGGUGAAUGUGUUCCCGGGCCUUGUACACACCGACGCGUA